This 31-nucleotide non-coding RNA is filed under the name Mus musculus (house mouse). Lineage: Eukaryota; Metazoa; Chordata; Mammalia; Rodentia; Muridae. The record is from RNAcentral.
UACCAGUGCAUUAAAAUACUGUUUUGUGGGC